CUUAUUUAGCUCUAUAUAUUCUAAACGUACCUCGAGUAGAAGAACUUUUUGAAUUAGAAUCUGUGGAUAUAUUUGUCGAAGUUAAAGUUCCCCCAACCUGUGAGGUGACAAUCAUGCAAAUGAUAGACGGUCAUAAAGUGAAGAUAAACAAUUCUCAUGCGUAUAUAGUGGAGGGUAGGAAAAAUUUAGAAUUCCAUUGUUCCAUAAAGUCGUUUUCAGGGAAUGCGAACCCUAAUGAUCAAAAUCACAGAAUAAAUCACAUAGCACAGCUCAGUGGGGAGCUUCUCUCCAAUACUAGGGGUUCAGAUUCCAAUAUCAACAAUUAUUUA
Gordionus sp. m RMFG-2023 is the source of this 329-nucleotide long non-coding RNA. RefSeq lists it as uncharacterized. The record is from RefSeq and is a predicted model, not a curated record. Lineage: Eukaryota; Metazoa; Nematomorpha; Gordioida; Chordodea; Parachordodidae. The transcript has 3 exons.